This 74-nucleotide transfer RNA is filed under the name archaeon. Its description in RNAcentral is "tRNA-Pro". It matches the Rfam family "tRNA". From Rfam's summary of the family: Transfer RNA (tRNA) molecules are approximately 80 nucleotides in length. Their secondary structure includes four short double-helical elements and three loops (D, anti-codon, and T loops). The record is from RNAcentral.
GGGGCUGUAGUCUAGUUUGGUUAGGAUUCUGCGUUUGGGACGCUGCGACAGGGGUUCAAAUCCUCUCGGCCCCA